Long non-coding RNA from Hypanus sabinus (Atlantic stingray), 2949 nucleotides. RefSeq lists it as uncharacterized. The record is from RefSeq and is a predicted model, not a curated record. NCBI's taxonomy places the organism in Eukaryota, Metazoa, Chordata, Chondrichthyes, Myliobatiformes, Dasyatidae. The transcript has 3 exons.
UCUAACUUCCCACUAAUUUUUGCUCUAUUAUAUACCCUCCCUUUGGCUUUUAUGGUGGCUUUGACCUGUUAGCCGCAGUUAUGUCAUCUUGCCUUUAGAAUACUUCUUCUUCUUUGGAAUGUAUAUAUCCUGUGCCUUCAGAAUUGCUUCCAGAAAUUCCAGCCAUUGCUGCUCUGGCAGGGUUCUUUUCCAAUCAGUUCUAGCCAACACCCUCUCAUGCCUUUGUAGUUCCCUUUACUCCACCGCAAUACUGAUACAUCUGACUUCAGCUUCUCCUUCUCAUAUGUCAGGGUGAAUUCAAACAUAUUACUCUCUCCUAAGGGUUCUUAUACCUUAAGCUCUCUAAUCAAUUUUGGUUCAUUGCACAACACCCAAUCCAGAACAGCUGAUCCUCUAGUGGGAUCAACCACGAGCUGCUCUAAAAAGCCAUCUUGUAGGCACUCUAGAAAUUCCCCCUCUUGGAUCCAGCACCAACCUGAUUUUUCCCAGUCUACCUUCCCAUGACUAUUGUAACAUUGCCCUUUUGAUGUGUAUUUUCUAUCUCUUCUUGUAAUUUGUAGGACACAUCCUUACUCUAGGGUUCUGUAUAAAACUCCCAUCAGGAUCUUUUUACCCUUCCCCUUCGUCUAUUGACAAUUAUUCAACACCUUUCGACCCUAUGUCACCUCUUUCUAAUGAUUUGAUUUCAUGUUUUACCAACAGAGCAAUGCUGCCCUCACUGCCUUCCUGCCUGUUCUUUCAAUACAAUGUAUAUCCUUGGAUAUUAAGUCCUCAGAUAUAAUCUUCUUUCAGCCAUGAUUCAGUGAUGCCGACAACAUCAUUCCUGCCAACCUACAACUGUGCUGCCAUCAAGACCAACCAUUGAACAUGGCGCAUCUGGAUUCAGUACCACUAUGCAUAAUGAGAGGAAAUGAGAAGAGAAAGAGAUUUUCCAGAAGACCUGCUUGCGCUGAAUGAAAAAAAAUUGCAUCAACCAGCUUCAUUCUCCAGUGAUUUCAGUCACAGCACUACACAUUACAAUACUGUGGUUACCCUAUCAAGUGAUCUUGUACAUUGUUCAACAUAGACAAAAUCAGCUUAAGGGUGUGUGGAAAGGUCUAUAAAAUGGAACCCCUUUCUAACCUGUGCAAGGCCUAUAUACAUCCUGCCAGAAUUAGACAAUCCAAAAUGUCACAUCACAUUUAUCUGUACUAAAUUCCAUUUGCCACUGCUCUGUCCAAUUUUCCAGGUGAUCUAUUUCGCUCUGUAUUCUUGGGCAGGCAUACGCACUGCAUACAACCCUACCAAUCUAUGUGUCAUCAACCAACUUACUUAUCAGACCACAGUCAUUCUCAUGCAAGUCACUUAAAUAAAGGUUGCAGUUCCAAUCCCUGCGGUACACCAUUAAUUAAAUACUUCCAGUCAAUAAAGCAGCCCUUUCACCUUACCCUUUGCCUCCCAUCAAAGACAGCACUUCUUUUCUUUUCUUUUAACUUCUACCCACAUAUAACUUUAUUUGCCAAUCGCUCCAGGAUAUUUUCCUUGCGUAUUCCUGUAGUGCUCUCUCUGAUCAGCAGUUUAACAUCUGGAACACCCCACCUCUUGCUAUUAAACAAAUGCAGCAUUUUAAUUAUCUUUGAAAUAAAAUUAUAAAAUGAUAAUCGGCACCAAAACUUUAACAAGCUUGUAACAAAUUCUUUAUGUGCCACUUAACAGAAAUUAAAAUUUGUGAAAGGGAUGCAUAUAAAAUAUCAAUACUAGCUGUAAUUAGUAUCAUAUAUUAAAAAUCUUGAAGUCUUCUAGAUGAGUUAUAAUCGUCUGUUUUGCUAGCACUGCAUAUAUACAGAUGUUCCAAAGUGUGCUGUUUUGUUUCAUAUUGCAUAUGUCACCAGAUCAUAAUUUUGGCUUUUCUGUAUAAUUGAAGUGCCUUCCAGCCAGGCAGAAUGCCAUGUCUAUUUUUCAAAAAGUAAACCACAGUGGAAUGAGUAUCCCAAUAAAUUAUGUAUUUCUGUAAAACCAGGGAGUCAUUUUGAAACCAGUUGGAUCAUUUAGUCAGGCAAAUGUAAAUAAUAACAUUUUGCAUUUAGUAUAAGUACAAUCUGUGACUAAUGUGAAUUUUAUUACAUCCGUGCAAUCAUUUUUUCUUGCAAUAAUGAAAUAUCAUUCUUACUGUUCUCUUUGUUGUUAUCAACUUUUGGUAUUGUCUUACUUACAUUAAAGAUAAACAACAAAAAACAAAACAGAUCUUUUCAAUAUAUUACGUUCAUAAAUACACUCAAUGACGACUUUAUUAGGUACACCUGUGUGUUUAUGCAAAUAUCUAAUCAGCCUAUCAUGUGGCAGCAACUCAAUGCAUAAAAGCGUAUAGGUUCAGUUGUUGUUCAGAUCUAACAUCAAAAUGAAGAAUUAAUGUGAUCUAAGUAACUUUGACCAUAGGAUUGCAGGUUUGUGCCUGAGAGGGUGGUUCUUCCAAGUUGCUGAUCUCCUGGUCUUUUCAUGCACAUAAGUCCCUAGAGUUUACACAGAAUCGUGUGAAAAACAAAAAAGCACCCAGAGAACGGUAUUUCUGUGGACAAAAAUGCUUUGAUAAUGAGGUCAGAGGAGAAUGGCCAGACUGAUUCAAGCUGACAGGAAGGUGAAGGUAACUCAAAUAACCACAUGUGACAGUUGUGGUGUGUAGAAGAGCAUUUCGGAAUGCACAAUAUUUCAAAUCAUGAAAUCAUGAGGCCACAACAGCAGAAGACUGCACACUCCUAUACCUAAUAAAGUGGCCAUUGAGCACACUUUUCAUUCAAUAAUGUAAAAUUAAUUAUUUCAAUAUUUAAUUUUUAUUCUGAGUUUAUUUUUGUAGCUUCCUCUCAUUUUAAUUAUGUCCCCUCAUAUGUCCUUCCCAGAAAAUAUAUCUUAAUCUAAGGAUUUACUAUCUUUCUGAUGCCCCUGAAAUGAAUUAAAGCAACCCUGCUCUCUUCA